RNAcentral lists this ribosomal RNA (497 nucleotides) under uncultured bacterium. RNAcentral describes it as "partial 16S ribosomal RNA". It matches the Rfam family "Bacterial small subunit ribosomal RNA", at positions 28 to 507 of the family's 1533-position model. The record is from RNAcentral.
GAUGAACGCUGGCGGCGUGCCUAAUACAUGCAAGUCGAGCGAACAGACGAGGAGCUUGCUCCUCUGACGUUAGCGGCGGACGGGUGAGUAACACGUGGAUAACCUACCUAUAAGACUGGGAUAACUUCGGGAAACCGGAGCUAAUACCGGAUAAUAUAUUGAACCGCAUGGUUCAAUAGUGAAAGACGGUUUUGCUGUCACUUAUAGAUGGAUCCGCGCCGCAUUAGCUAGUUGGUAAGGUAACGGCUUACCAAGGCAACGAUGCGUAGCCGACCUGAGAGAGUGAUCGGCCACACUGGAACUGAGCCACGGUCCAGACUCCUACGGGAGGCAGCAGUAGGGAAUCUUCCGCAAUGGGCGAAAGCCUGACGGAGCAACGCCGCGUGAGUGAUGAAGGUCUUCGGAUCGUAAAACUCUGUUAUUAGGGAAGAACAAAUGUGUAAGUAACUAUGCACGUCUUGACGGUACCUAAUCAGAAAGCCACGGCUAACUACGUG